CGGAGGAUAUAAAUCACCUUAGUCUGUUUUACUUUACAUAUACUUUCAGGUAGUGAUUUAAGUUAGUUAACGAGGGUGUGAGAGUGCAGUAUCGCAGCAUUGCUCCUUAAGGAUGCCUGGUAGUGCCAUGAGAACACGGGCUGGGGAUUUGGGCUCCUUGGGCUCUCUGCAGUCCCAUCACAGAAGCUAGAUGCUGGAGCACUCUGAAAUGUUCACAGUGGCACUUGCUCUUCUGUGUGAACCCCUUCCUCUGCCAUCCUCCUCAGGUUGUCUGAUCUUUGAGCUGAGCUCAGGCUGUGGCUCUUACAGUCACCUCCUUUGGAGAUUGCACCCACAUGACUGUUGUUUCGUUUUCUCUGCAGUAAUCUGCUGCUGGCUCCUCCGUGACCUUUCUCCCUAAGAAAAACCUGUAUACUUCAAAGGUCUCUCAGGACAGUGAAACUACUUUGGUUCUGUCAAACAUAGGCUUUUCUUUGGCAUACCCUGGACCCAGAGCAAGGAGGGAGUAGGAAACACCAUCCCAGAGCUGUGUCUGCACUAGGGGGCUGUGCUUGCAUGGCGAUAAGAGGAUUAGAAGUUUAGAGAAAGCUUUGUCCUCGUGUGCAUCACUCCUGACUGGCACGAGAGCUCCAGGACCAUCAGCUCAUCAGGAAAUCUCCUGUCUGCCCGGAGCACACAGUGAAUUCCCACCUUUGCACUCAAGGCACAGCAUUAAGUGCUUCCAAAGGUAAUGCAGAGCAUCCGUGGAAUCCCUCUGUGCAGCAGGGUGGAGAUCUGAGGAAGAGACCUACAGCCAAAUGGCCUGAGCUGUCACAGCACGGUACCUAUGGUAAAGCUGGGACCCUCUCCUGCUCACCAGCUCCUUGUGUUAUAUGCCACAUGUGGUGGUGUCUAAUCCUUGUCAGGUUCUAGCAGAUACCACGAGCUGAGCUCUGCUUGGCUGGACGCAUGAGAUUUAGAUAAGGCUGGGUCAAAUCUGUGCUGCCAUCUAAUCAGGCGUGAGCAGCUGAGAUGUGAGUUGAUGCUGUAUUUCCCUCUUUUGAUAAAUUAAUCUAAUUUGCAGAUUCCCGUGACGGCUCCAUCCUGCAACGUUCUGAACCUCCUCACUGUGCUUCAGCAAUGCGAUCAGGUCCAGAUACGAGCUCAGGACUGGACCUACUGCAACAAGCAGUGUGAACAAUGCUGGGCUCUUACUGCCAUGCUCAGUGAGUUUCUGGCUGCAUCUAGAGUGCCAAAAAAACUUAUUGCAGGAAACAGGAGUGUCAUUUCUCCUUGUCUGCUGUGAGCGAGUCCUCAUCGGUUCAAGUGACAACACGUGCAGGUGCCUCUCUGCUUUUUCCACACCGGGUGAGUCCUUUCAGCAAGCAGGGAGGGAACAGCUGCUGGGUGAAAACAAGGCCAUCCUGCUGACCCAAGCUGAAAUGCGACAGGGAAAUGGGAUUUCUGACCUUGAGAGGUACAAAGUUGCCCAAAGGAGGGACCCGGCGAAGAUUAAAAAUAACUCCAACUCCGUAACGCUUCUGCAGCUGGGCCAAAGCAUUGCAAAACACACAGCCAGCUAUGAAAUAGGACCAAUUGACAACAGCCUUUUGGUGACCGAUGGGCUGAGGAGCUCGCCCUCCCCUUUGCGAGCAUGGACUGAAGAACAGCUGCUUUUGUCAGCCGUGCUCUUGCUUGUCCUCUCCCCUGUCCCUGCAGAUGUUUGAGGAUGGCUGCUGUGACGGUGCUCGUCGUGUGGGUCGGUGUUCCUUUCUCCUCAGCUCCCACUUCUGUUUGGCUGUUGUGAGAGCAAUUAGACAUUACUCAGAGAGGGCCAGACAGUGUGUGGGUCCAUGGUCGCUCGGUCUGUCUGUCUGUCUCCCCCCUCUCGCACACAUGCCAUGUGAUUUGAAGCAGUCAUGUACCAUGAAUAAUGUCCAGGGGCCAGGUCACAAGCUUCCCAUAGCAUGGAAUUCAUUUGCAUACAAUCCGAGCAAUUACAAGUAAUGAAUAGAUUAGGAAAACCAAACAAAACGAGAAACGAUUCAGGCUGCUGCUAAUUCCUCAG
Molecule: long non-coding RNA, 2047 nt
Organism: Gallus gallus (chicken)
Lineage: Eukaryota; Metazoa; Chordata; Aves; Galliformes; Phasianidae
Source: Ensembl